Long non-coding RNA from Octopus sinensis (East Asian common octopus), 149 nucleotides. RefSeq lists it as uncharacterized. Lineage: Eukaryota; Metazoa; Mollusca; Cephalopoda; Octopoda; Octopodidae. The transcript is spliced from 3 exons. The record is from RefSeq and is a predicted model, not a curated record.
AUAUACUCUUCUUCAUUUUCUACAAUGCACUUCCAUCUAUCUGGUAGGCUUUCAGGGCCUCUCUUCCAAAAUUCACUUGUUCGUGACGAAAAUACUCACCCAGUACUGUUGUGAUCUCGUCUACAGAAUUCAUAUUUGUUUCCCGUCCA